RNAcentral lists this ribosomal RNA (627 nucleotides) under Carnobacterium sp. MYb231. RNAcentral describes it as "bacterial SSU rRNA". It matches the Rfam family "Bacterial small subunit ribosomal RNA", at positions 64 to 669 of the family's 1533-position model. Lineage: Bacteria; Bacillati; Bacillota; Bacilli; Lactobacillales; Carnobacteriaceae. The record is from RNAcentral.
GAACGCACGAAGUUGAAGAGCUUGCUCUUUAACCAGUGAGUGGCGGACGGGUGAGUAACACGUGGGUAACCUGCCCAUUAGAGGGGGAUAACAUUCGGAAACGGAUGCUAAUACCGCAUAGUUUCAGGAAUCGCAUGAUUCUUGAAGGAAAGGUGGCUUCGGCUACCACUAAUGGAUGGACCCGCGGCGUAUUAGCUAGUUGGUGAGGUAAUGGCUCACCAAGGCAAUGAUACGUAGCCGACCUGAGAGGGUGAUCGGCCACACUGGGACUGAGACACGGCCCAGACUCCUACGGGAGGCAGCAGUAGGGAAUCUUCCGCAAUGGACGAAAGUCUGACGGAGCAACGCCGCGUGAGUGAAGAAGGUUUUCGGAUCGUAAAACUCUGUUGUUAAAGAAGAACAAGGAUGAGAGUAACUGCUCAUCCCCUGACGGUAUUUAACCAGAAAGCCACGGCUAACUACGUGCCAGCAGCCGCGGUAAUACGUAGGUGGCAAGCGUUGUCCGGAUUUAUUGGGCGUAAAGCGAGCGCAGGCGGUUCUUUAAGUCUGAUGUGAAAGCCCCCGGCUCAACCGGGGAGGGUCAUUGGAAACUGGAGAACUUGAGUGCAAAAGAGGAGAGUGGAAUUC